GAGUUUGAUCCUGGCUCAGGAUGAACGCUAGCGGCAGGCUUAAUACAUGCAAGUCGAACGGUAACAUGAGAGCUUGCUCUUGAUGACGAGUGGCGCACGGGUGCGUAACGCGUAUGCAACCUACCCUUUACUGGGGGAUAGCCAGGAGAAAUUCUGAUUAAUACCCCAUGGUACUGUAAUGUAGCAUUACAUAGCAGUUAAAGAUUUAUUGGUAAAGGAUGGGCAUGCGUGACAUUAGUUAGUUGGUAAGGUAACGGCUUACCAAGACGAUGAUGUCUAGGGGUUCUGAGAGGAAGGUCCCCCACACUGGUACUGAGACACGGACCAGACUCCUACGGGAGGCAGCAGUAGGGAAUAUUGGUCAAUGGACGCAAGUCUGAACCAGCCAUGCCGCGUGCAGGAUGACAGCUUUCUGAGUUGUAAACUGCUUUUAUAUAGGAACAAAGAGGCCAUGCGUGGCAAGUUGCGUGUACUAUAUGAAUAAGCACCGGCUAACUCCGUGCCAGCAGCCGCGGUAAUACGGAGGGUGCAAGCGUUGUCCGGAUUUAUUGGGUUUAAAGGGUGCGUAGGUGGUUUUUUAAGUCAGUGGUGAAAGCCUACAGCUUAACUGUAGAGGUGCCAUUGAUACUGGAGAACUUGAGUAUGGACGAGGUAGGCGGAAUUUGUGGUGUAGCGGUGAAAUGCAUAGAUACCACAAAGAACACCGAUAGCGAAGGCAGCUUACUGGACCAUAACUGACACUGAGGCACGAAAGCGUGGGGAGCGAACAGGAUUAGAUACCCUGGU
RNAcentral lists this ribosomal RNA (786 nucleotides) under uncultured bacterium. Its description in RNAcentral is "bacterial SSU rRNA". It matches the Rfam family "Bacterial small subunit ribosomal RNA", at positions 9 to 791 of the family's 1533-position model. The record is from RNAcentral.